RNAcentral lists this transfer RNA (67 nucleotides) under Marmota monax (woodchuck). RNAcentral describes it as "tRNA.Ala". It matches the Rfam family "tRNA". Rfam says of the family: Transfer RNA (tRNA) molecules are approximately 80 nucleotides in length. Their secondary structure includes four short double-helical elements and three loops (D, anti-codon, and T loops). Lineage: Eukaryota; Metazoa; Chordata; Mammalia; Rodentia; Sciuridae. The record is from RNAcentral.
GGUUGUGGCUCAGUGAUAGGGCGCUUGCCUGGCACGCGUGAGGCUCUGGGUUCAAUCCUCAGCACCA